RNAcentral lists this ribosomal RNA (375 nucleotides) under Poliopogon microuncinata. RNAcentral's name for it is "partial 16S ribosomal RNA". It matches the Rfam family "Bacterial large subunit ribosomal RNA", at positions 1808 to 2530 of the family's 2925-position model. Lineage: Eukaryota; Metazoa; Porifera; Hexactinellida; Amphidiscosida; Pheronematidae. The record is from RNAcentral.
CAAAAACAUAGCUAACAGAAAAUAAUAAUGUUGGUGAGACCUGCUCCAUGAAAAUAGCUGCGGUAAUCGUGACCGUACUAAGGUAGCAUAAUAAAUCGCCUAUUAAUUGUAGAAUAGAAUGAAGGUUAAACGAAAAUUCAACUGUCUCAAAAACAACUUUGUGAAAAUUUAUUGUGUGCUAAUAUUCACACUAAAAUAGCAAGACGAUAAGACCCUGCAAACUUUAAAUCUUAAGUUUCGUUGGGGCAACGACCUUAUAACAGUAACUAAGGUAACACCCGUUUAAAAAUAAACGCAAUAAAAUAAAAGUUCUGCAGGGAUAACAGCGUAAUAUUAUUUCAAGAAAAUAUCUUAAAUAAAGAUUGCGACCUCGAU